GACGAACGCUGGCGGCGUGCUUAACACAUGCAAGUCGAACGGAAAGGCCCUGCUUUUGUGGGGUGCCCGAGGGGCGAAGGGGUGAGUAACACGUGAGUAACCUGCCCUUGACUUUGGGAUAACUUCAGGAAACUGGGGCUAAUACCGGAUAGGAGCUGCUGCUGCAUUGAGGGGGGGGGAAAGUUUUGGCGGUUGGGGAUGGACUCGCGGCUUAUGAGCUUGUUGGUGGGGUAGUGGCUGACCAAGGCUUGGGAGGGUCGCCCGCCUGAGAGGGUGACCGGCCACAUUGGGACUGAGAUACGGCCCAGACUCCUACGGGGGGCAGCAGUGGGGAGUAUUGCACAAUGGGCGGAAGCCUGAUGCAGCAACGCCGCGUGCGUGAUGACGGCCUUCGGGUUGUAAACCGCUUUCGCCUGUGACGAAGCGUGAGUGACGGUAAUGGGUAAAGAAGCACCGGCUAACUACGUG
RNAcentral lists this ribosomal RNA (468 nucleotides) under uncultured bacterium. Its description in RNAcentral is "partial 16S ribosomal RNA". It matches the Rfam family "Bacterial small subunit ribosomal RNA", at positions 28 to 507 of the family's 1533-position model. The record is from RNAcentral.